UGGGCAACCUGCCCUCAGCUCUGGGAUAACUCCGGGAAACCGGUGCUAAUACUGGAUAUCGACUUCUGCCUCGCAUGGGGUGUGGUUGAAAGUUUUUCGGCUGGGGAUGGGCCCGCGGCCUAUCAGCUUGUUGGUGGGGUGAUGGCCUACCAAGGCGACGACGGGUAGCCGGCCUGAGAGGGCGACCGGCCACACUGGGACUGAGACACGGCCCAGACCUCCGUACGGGAGGCA
RNAcentral lists this ribosomal RNA (234 nucleotides) under uncultured bacterium. RNAcentral's name for it is "partial 16S ribosomal RNA". It matches the Rfam family "Bacterial small subunit ribosomal RNA", at positions 118 to 350 of the family's 1533-position model. The record is from RNAcentral.